Molecule: ribosomal RNA, 497 nt
Filed under: uncultured bacterium
Lineage: Bacteria
Description: partial 16S ribosomal RNA
Rfam family: Bacterial small subunit ribosomal RNA
Source: RNAcentral
GAUGAACGCUGGCGGCGUGCCUAAUACAUGCAAGUCGAGCGAACAGACGAGGAGCUUGCUCCUCUGACGUUAGCGGCGGACGGGUGAGUAACACGUGGAUAACCUACCUAUAAGACUGGGAUAACUUCGGGAAACCGGAGCUAAUACCGGAUAACAUGUUGAACCGCAUGGUUCAACAGUGAAAGACGGUUUUGCUGUCACUUAUAGAUGGAUCCGCGCCGCAUUAGCUAGUUGGUAAGGUAACGGCUUACCAAGGCAACGAUGCGUAGCCGACCUGAGAGGGUGAUCGGCCACACUGGAACUGAGACACGGUCCAGACUCCUACGGGAGGCAGCAGUAGGGAAUCUUCCGCAAUGGGCGAAAGCCUGACGGAGCAACGCCGCGCGAGUGAAGAAGGUCUUCGGAUCGUAAAACUCUGUUAUUAGGGAAGAACAAAUGUGUAAGUAACUAUGCACGUCUUGACGGUACCUAAUCAGAAAGCCACGGCUAACUACGUG